UUGGGUUUAUUGAACUGGAUUAGUACCCAGGUAAUCAAAAUUAAUUAAUUCGGGAGUAAAGUUUUGUUUAAACCGAAAAAAUAUUGACUGACUCUGGAUUUCUUUUUGGAAUAUGUGUAUGGAGAGCCCUCUUUWAUAGUAAAUCUUUUUUUGCACAUGUAUGAUUGUUUAGUUUUUAUUUURUUUUGUAAUGCUUUUUUUUUARAUUAAAAACAGAUAUAUAYUUGGCUUAUGGGUUUAUUAAUC
RNAcentral lists this ribosomal RNA (246 nucleotides) under Mansonella perstans. RNAcentral's name for it is "partial small subunit ribosomal RNA". The record is from RNAcentral. Lineage: Eukaryota; Metazoa; Nematoda; Chromadorea; Rhabditida; Onchocercidae.